AGGCGGGCGCAGCUACCAUGCAGUCGAGCGGUAACAGGGGUAGCUUGCUACCCGCUGACGAGCGGCGGACGGGUGAGUAAUGCAUAGGAAUCUGCCCGAUAGUGGGGGAUAACCUGGGGAAACCCAGGCUAAUACCGCAUACGUCCUACGGGAGAAAGGGGGCUCCGGCUCCCGCUAUUGGAUGAGCCUAUGUCGGAUUAGCUAGUUGGUAAGGUAAUGGCUUACCAAGGCAACGAUCCGUAGCUGGUCUGAGAGGAUGAUCAGCCACAUCGGGACUGAGACACGGCCCGAACUCCUACGGGAGGCAGCAGUGGGGAAUAUUGGACAAUGGGGGCAACCCUGAUCCAGCCAUGCCGCGUGUGUGAAGAAGGCCCUCGGGUUGUAAAGCACUUUCAGCGAGGAAGAACGCCUAUCGGUUAAUACCCGGUAGGAAAGACAUCACUCGCAGAAGAAGCACCGGCUAACUCCGUGCCAGCAGCCGCGGUAAUACGGAGGGUGCAAGCGUUAAUCGGAAUUACUGGGCGUAAAGCGCGCGUAGGUGGCUUGAUAAGCCGGUUGUGAAAGCCCCGGGCUCAACCUGGGAACGGCAUCCGGAACUGUCAGGCUAGAGUGCAGGAGAGGAAGGUAGAAUUCCCGGUGUAGCGGUGAAAUGCGUAGAGAUCGGGAGGAAUACCAGUGGCGAAGGCGGCCUUCUGGACUGACACUGACACUGAGGUGCGAAAGCGUGGGUAGCAAACAGGAUUAGAUAUCC
Molecule: ribosomal RNA, 751 nt
Filed under: Halomonas sp.
Lineage: Bacteria; Pseudomonadati; Pseudomonadota; Gammaproteobacteria; Oceanospirillales; Halomonadaceae
Description: bacterial SSU rRNA
Rfam family: Bacterial small subunit ribosomal RNA
Source: RNAcentral